Myodes glareolus (Bank vole) is the source of this 603-nucleotide non-coding RNA. The record is from RefSeq and is a predicted model, not a curated record. Lineage: Eukaryota; Metazoa; Chordata; Mammalia; Rodentia; Cricetidae.
CAGGAAAUGAAAGACUCUGGAUUCCUUCAAGGUUAAUAGAGAUCAGGUUUGAUCUUGGAAGGCCCCCUGACUACAGACAUAAAGAAAUAAACCUAGAAAACCACAAAGCAGGUCAUUCAGAGAUGCCAUAGCCCCAUCUUCUUCAGAACAGGAUCCAUGGUGUCAUGGGCAGAAGCUUUGGGCUGUAGAGUGUGAGAUGUUGCCCAGUACCUUACAGCUCUGCAGGAAAGGAACUGACAGGAUGUGGAGAGGAAAGAUGUUGUUCUUCAGAAGGUAAGAGGAUGAUCCCAGGCCUUCCUCAGGAGCCCUUGAUGCAGCAGAGGGGUCAAAACAGGCAUCCUUCCAGCUCUUGGGGCCCAGGUUGAGCAUCUGUGAUCCUGGCAUUGAGGUGUCGAUCAAGGACCUGUCCAACAAUAAACCCAGCGGAUCCUUCCAUUGCAUCAGAAGUCACUGCCACUUGCCUGGAGACCACAUCUCAGAGACUUGUUUCUCCCAUCUCGCUCUCUUCUGAGCCUCAGCAUAGCUCCCUGCCCCGCGCUACCGUCUCGCCAGCAAGAACCACGCGGAACACUAGGAUCCUUCUGCAGGAAUGGCUUUAAUCCU